RNAcentral lists this ribosomal RNA (253 nucleotides) under uncultured bacterium. RNAcentral describes it as "partial 16S ribosomal RNA". It matches the Rfam family "Bacterial small subunit ribosomal RNA", at positions 524 to 776 of the family's 1533-position model. The record is from RNAcentral.
UACGGAGGGGGCAAGCGUUGUUCGGAAUCACUGGGCGUAAAGCGCGUGUAGGCGGCCCAUUAAGUCUGAUGUGAAAGCCCGGGGCUCACCCCCGGAAGUGCAUUGGAAACUGAUGGACUCGAGUCCCGGAGAGGAGAGUGGAAUUCCUGGUGUAGCGGUGAAAUGCGUAGAUAUCAGGAGGAACACCGGUGGCGAAGGCGGCUCUCUGGACGGUGACUGACGCUGAGACGCGAAAGCGUGGGGAGCAAACAGG